AUGGCUUGUCUGGGGGAGCAGCCAGCGCUGAUGCCAAUAAUUCCUUUGGCUCUUUUUCUGCCUGAGUCAGAUCGCUCAAGCAUUAACCUUAAAAUAGCAACUAUUUUCAUAGUUGAUAUAAUUAAUCUCCUCUGUGUGUGUGUUCCUUCCCCAUUCCAGGCUCCGAUGCUUCACCACUCCCCUGCUGACCCACUCCUGCUUUGGCACAAGAAAACUCGGGGCAAAACUUGCCUUUUCCACCACAAAAGCACAACCUGCGGGCUGUGUGUGCUCUGCUCCGUGAGUUCACUGCCACACCGGUGGCUCCAGUCACAGAUUCCUCGCUCAUGUGGUCUGUCGGUUUUGGAGCAUCUUCUCGAUCUGCUUUUGGGUCUGAGCACAUCAGUGAGGAAGAUGAAGGGGGAAAAGAAAAGAUCAUUUGUGAUGAAGCACAGAGCGAGCACACAGAUCGGGGCAGACUGCACCUCGCUGCUUGCAUGCAGUGCUAUUCCCACGAGGCAGCUGCAAUCCUGGCAAUUAAAUCAAGAAGGAUGCGUUGGGGAAAACCCCCGUGAUGGCGUCUGAGGAUGCUGAUUAAAUGUGCACAGCCUGGUGAGCCCACGUGGAACAAAAGGCUGCGUGGCUGAGCCUGACAGACUCGCUGUGUCCUGGGCAAAAAGAAUGCUGGGGUUUUAUUAAACACUUUGAAGUAGAUACCUGAGGAAGGAAAAGCUUUCUGCAGACACACACUCGGCUGUGCAGCCCACACUGGUUAGGGUCCCAGCUUUUACAGUCAGAACGUGGAGCAUCGGUUCCAUCCCAACCUCCAGCGCUGGCGUGGCAGGAGGGGUAACAGGUUCCUUUGAGCAGGAACCUGCUCUGACUGUGGCAGCAACAUCAAAUAUCACCCAGGGAAUGAUCAUUUCCAUGGCUGCACUGUGGGAUCUGACAGAGGAAGCCCUGCAAGUGGCACACGUUGCUAAAUCAAAAAGCCAGCUCAGGUCAGGGUUGGGCUGGCUCUGAACUUGUCCUGCUGCAGUUGCAGUUACUUGUCCUGAGAUGUGAACAAUGCCUGAGGUCUGUCCUGGAAGAGAGAGGCAGGGGGAUUUAUAAAGCAAAUCUGCUCUCAAGGACUGGCCUGCAGUGGAUUUUCCUGUGAGCAAACAACCCAGCUCCUUCCCGGGCACACUGACCACAUCCAGCUGGGCUCGAUUGUUUUGUGUUCCUGUCGCUGUUCAGAUUUCAAUCCUGUCGUCCCCAGGAGUCUUUCCAGACUUGGGCUGUGUUUCUCUGCCUGUAGAAAUGUCACUUCAUCCUAGAAAAUGUCACUAGGAUUGUUAUUUAAACAGUAAUAGGGUUAAAGGUAAUAACUGGGAAGUGAAAGUGACUGGCUUGCAUAGUUUCCGAUUACUUUUCUCCUCUUGUCUGUGUGAUUUGAGUUCUCAGCAUUUAGCAUGGUGGAGGCAGGGUAGAGUUUUAAAUAGAAUUAUGUCCUUUCAACAUCAGUUUUGCAGCAGCAGAGCUUGUGCUAGAAUGCCUGUGCUGUGCAGGGAAGGUUUGGGACUUCACUGGAUUCUCAGCCAGGCACUAACAGGUCAUACUCUGCACACAAAAGGACACCCCUGCUGCAAUGUGGCUACAGCCCAGGGACCACAGAUGAAGGGAAAGGCUGCAAAAAUUGGAGUUUUGCUGAUGGGCAGCAAAGAAGGGGCUGCACAGGACAUUUUUGCAGCACAUUUGGAGACUAAACUGGAAUCUUCUGAGGCCUGUGUUGGAGCUGCUGGCGGGCCUUUGUCCCUAAAAGCCAUGCAGCUGCUGGAAGUGACUGGGAGGGAUGCUGGAGGGGAGACACGGCCUCACAGAGCUCUCACUGCCACGUGCUGCCAAUCCCCUGUCGCUCAGUGCCAUCCCUCCAGCUCAUCCCCCAGGCUGUGCCGCUGUGGGACGUGGUGAUGGUGUUGUUAUCCUCUUCUGCCUUAACGAGCUCGUUUGUGUGAGGCUGGGUAAUGGAGGACGAGGCAUUUUAGAAACAUCCACUUGGGAAAUGUAUCCCUGGAGAAGUGAGUGGCAGGCAACGUUUGGCUGGAUAAAAACAAUAAAGGUGCAAAGAGCAGUGCUGUGUCA
Cyanistes caeruleus (blue tit) is the source of this 2103-nucleotide long non-coding RNA. NCBI's taxonomy places the organism in Eukaryota, Metazoa, Chordata, Aves, Passeriformes, Paridae. The record is from Ensembl.